This is a long non-coding RNA of Balaenoptera ricei (Rice's whale), 404 nucleotides long. RefSeq lists it as uncharacterized. The transcript has 4 exons. The record is from RefSeq and is a predicted model, not a curated record. Lineage: Eukaryota; Metazoa; Chordata; Mammalia; Artiodactyla; Balaenopteridae.
UAUGGUUGGUCCUCUAGGAACCAGCGGGAAAGAUAAAACCUAUCUGCUUCGUGAACUAUGUUGUGACCCCGCUCCCUUUUCCCUCAGAGACCUGCAGACGGACGGUGGUGUUGGCUUGAGUUUUUGUGACGAAGCUUACUUUUCAGUUUCACCCCUAAGGGCCUCUUCUGCUUACAUACCAAUUGCUGUUACUUGCCUGGUGUAGCAGACACUCUACUACUCCUAGAAGAAUGACGUUGGCCUGGUUGAAUUGACGAGGUUGACUAUUAUGUGACCAAGAAGGACAUAAUAAAUCAUGACACUUGAAGAACAUCCUGAGUUCAAAGAUGGCUCCAGGAAUUUAUAUCAACUUUGUGGCGACCACCUUUCUGAUCCAUGAUUUCCGAUUUAAGCCACCGGCAGUG